This 2229-nucleotide long non-coding RNA is filed under the name Monomorium pharaonis (pharaoh ant). Its description in RNAcentral is "uncharacterized LOC118645531". Lineage: Eukaryota; Metazoa; Arthropoda; Insecta; Hymenoptera; Formicidae. The record is from RNAcentral.
UAUUUUUUUUCAGUUGCGAGUUCAUAAAUUGCUGUACAGUUAUUGUACAGGGUGUGUCUUAAGUGGCGACAACUGAUAGUCACGAAAGGGGGAAUAAUUAUGCAGGUGAAAAGAAUAAACUGCAGAAUUUUUUCAAAUACCAGAAAGCCUGAUUUAAAUGUAAUCAUCGAAUGACACCGUUGCGCAUUACGUAAACCACGCUGAGCACGUAUUCAUGGCCAUUCACGGUGAUUAGCAGAAUACCUCCAACAUCAGAAAGUAGGAAGGUGCAUCGGUAAACGAAGCCGUACAUAUUAUUGCAACUUAAACUCUAAACUGCCUUUUGUUUGUCUUUUGUCUGACGCGCUGUAAAUACCGAUCGGCAAAUACAAAUUUCUCAGGAUUAUUAAUCAACUGCAAAUAAAUAUUAGCGAUAUUAAAUCCUGAAUAGACAUUAACUUUCUAAUGUUGUUACGUCAUAUGUUUUUACGUUGAACUGUAUGACGAUAAACAACUUUCUUUAAUCCAUGAACUUAGCAUCAAUUAAAGAUUAUAAAAGUAAUCUUUUAAUAAUAAAUGAUAUGUAUAUCUUCCAGUGACGUAACAAAGAGAGCUCCAAGGUUUUCCAGGCAUCACUGCGCGAUAAAGAGGCGCGCAUAAGUGACGGAUCGGAUUGCACGACAAUGACCAACCACGCGGAUCGUCCGUGGUGCGUUUCGGUUUCAUUUAUUAAUCCUUCCCGAUCGAUAUAUACCGCCUCACGUAGUCUUCGUUUACUUAUUCAACCGCCACGCCGCCAAUACAUCCUAUACAUAUACGUUUACUUUAGCACGUACGUACAGAUGGGCUCGUCGCCAUCGUCGUCGUUUUAGUUAUUACGUACAUAAUGAAUAUCAACGAUAUUAAUUCGCCCGGGGAAGUGCAAUAGCGGAGCGCGUAUAAUUACGCGAUGAGCAGCGACAUUUUCGGAUACCGUUGCUGGCAACGAACUCUUGCCGAGAAUAGGACGGAUGAAAGCGAGACAAAACCGAUCUCGUCUACGAGAACAAUACGCGACUGAUGCUUCCGGGGCGGACCGGACUAAAACGCGGAAACGAAGCAUGUUCGCUUACAAUCAUUCAAUGAUGUAAAAAGGAAGUGGGACAUGCUUUCACGAUACUUUCCAGCGAGGUAAAAGUCGACGAACACAUACAUCGGGUGAUUAAAAUAUAAACAUCACAUUUCUGACUUAAUACUUUCGAGACUUUUCCUUCUUAAAAACUACUCUGUGCAAUCUGAUACAACCAUUUCCUUUAAUAAUCCCGAGACUGAACUUCGGAGGAGACUAAAAUCUUGGAGGAGAAAAAAAAAUCGCCUCAGAAUUGAGUCAGGAAUGUGCGAUAUUUUAAGAACGAAGGAUUGUUUUCCCGUCCGCAUCUCUCGCGGUUUCUUCGAUAUUUGCACGGGGAUUCCCGGCGCCGGCGACCGGUUUCUCGGCGUCGCGUCGCGUCGCGUCGUCGCAAAAUGACGACGUGCUCCGCUCGCCGGGCGACGAUCCGGCUCGCUUCCUCCGCACGCGUGUGUCAUGUGCGACAGCAAUUUACGAGACACAGGGUGAACGUAUUCGACACAGGGUGAACGUACUUGGCGCCGCGCGGCGCGAGAGAGACGUCAUUCGAUUAAAAUUCCUCCGUUCGCGCGGUGUUCCCGCUAGUUUUCAAGUUUAUCGGGCGAGGAGAGGAGGGGGGGGGGGGAGGAGGACGGGAAGGGGAAAUCAGAGAUCCACGUAAUGGCUCUGAUUCGAACUAUGCCAAGUGCGUUCCAGUUUCAGAAUCGUCAUCUGCCACUCCGCAAACCUCGCCGUGAAUUCAAACUCAAAUUCUCCUCCCCUGCAGUUGUGUAAAUUUCACAAGUGGGGGGGAGAUUCGCACGCUCCAAGCCAGCUGAUCGAAUUGGUGUGGUCGAAACCAAUGAUAUAAAUGAGGGAGAAUUAAUAAGCGUCCGUAAACAAAGUGAUCGCCACUCUAGCAUUUUAUUUAUAAAACUUCUGCGGAGAAAGAGAGAGAGAGAGAUAAACGGAGGACGUGACACAGAAAGGAGGGGGGAUAUCAUACUUUUUGCAUUGCCAAUCAUGUGCCAUAUAUGUAUGUUUUGUAUAUAAUAAUAUACGAAAGUAAUAUUAAAAUAUUCCGAGGAGAUACAACACAUUGUUUUUUUCCUUCGAGAGAUUUUAGAGAGAGAUACAUGUAUUAUUUUUAAAAAAGAAAAAAA